AGUGAACGCUGGCGGUAGGCUUUACACAUGCAAGUCGAACGGCAGCACACCAAAAGCUUGUGCUGACGGGCGGAGGGGGGCGUAAGGCAGCGGAAUACGCCCGAACCUACUUUUUAGUUGGGGAAAAGGUAGGGAAAUAUCCGCUACUACCGCAUAAGAAAUACGGGGGAAAGCAAGGGCUCUCCGGACUUUGCCCGACUGAAUGAGCCGAUGUCGGAUUAGGUAGUUGGUGGGGUAAAGGCCCACCAAGGCGACGAUCCGUAGCUGGUCUGAGAGGAUGAUCAGCCACACUGGGACUGAGACACGGCCCAGACUCCUACGGGAGGCAGCAGUGGGGAAUAUUGGACAAUGGGCGCAAGCCUGAUCCAGCCAUGCCGCGUGCAUGAAGAAGGCCUUCGGGUUGUAAAGCCCUUUUGUUGGGAAAGAAAAGCAUCAGGUUAAUACCCCGCUGUACUGACGGUACCGAAAGAAUAAGCACCGGCUAACUACGUG
Molecule: ribosomal RNA, 492 nt
Filed under: uncultured bacterium
Lineage: Bacteria
Description: partial 16S ribosomal RNA
Rfam family: Bacterial small subunit ribosomal RNA
Source: RNAcentral